This 362-nucleotide ribosomal RNA is filed under the name uncultured bacterium. Its description in RNAcentral is "partial 16S ribosomal RNA". It matches the Rfam family "Bacterial small subunit ribosomal RNA", at positions 338 to 697 of the family's 1533-position model. The record is from RNAcentral.
CCUACGGGAGGCUGCAGUGAGGAAUAUUGGUCAAUGGACGCAAGUCUGAACCAGCCAUGCCGCGUGCAGGAAGACGGCUCUAUGAGUUGUAAACUUCUUUUGUCCGAGGGUAAACGCAGACACGCGUAUCUGUCUGAAAGUACCGUACGAAUAAGGAUCGGCUAACUCCGUGCCAGCAGCCGCGGUAAUACGGAGGAUUCAAGCGUUAUCCGGAUUUAUUGGGUUUAAAGGGUGCGUAGGCGGUCGGAUAAGUUAGAGGUGAAAGCCCGAGGCUCAACUUCGGAAGUGCCUCUGAAACUGGUCGGCUAGAGAGGAGUAGAGGUAGGCGGAAUGUGUGGUGUAGCGGUGAAAUGCUUAGAGAU